GAUGAACGCUGGCGGCGUGCCUAAUACAUGCAAGUCGAGCGAACGGACGAGAAGCUUGCUUCUCUGAUGUUAGCGGCGGACGGGUGAGUAACACGUGGAUAACCUACCUAUAAGACUGGGAUAACUUCGGGAAACCGGAGCUAAUACCGGAUAAUAUUUUGAACCGCAUGGUUCAAAAGUAAAAGACGGUCUUGCUGUCACUUAUAGAUGGAUCCGCCCUGCAUUAGCUAGUUGGUAAGGUAACGGCUUACCAAGGCAACGAUGCAUAGCCGACCUGAGAGGGUGAUCGGCCACACUGUGACUUAGGCACGGUCCAGACUCCUACGGGAGGCAGCAGUAGGGAAUCUUCCGCAAUGGGCGAAAGCCUGACGGAGCAACGCCGCGUGAGUGAUGAAGGUCUUCGGAUCGUAAAACUCUGUUAUUAGGGAAGAACAUAUGUGUAAGUAACUGUGCACAUCUUGACGGUACCUAAUCAGAAAGCCACGGCUAACUACGUG
RNAcentral lists this ribosomal RNA (497 nucleotides) under uncultured bacterium. Its description in RNAcentral is "partial 16S ribosomal RNA". It matches the Rfam family "Bacterial small subunit ribosomal RNA", at positions 28 to 507 of the family's 1533-position model. The record is from RNAcentral.